GCCUAACACAUGCAAGUCGAGCGGCAGCACAAGGGAGUUUACUCCUGAGGUGGCGAGCGGCGGACGGGUGAGUAAUGCCUAGGGAUCUGCCCAGUCAAGGGGGAUAACAGUUGGAAACGACUGCUAAUACCGCAUACGCCCUACGGGGUGAAAGAGGGGGACCUUCGUGGCCUCUCGCGAUUGGAUGAACCUAGGUGGGAUUAGCUAGUUGGUGAGGUAAUGGCUCACCAAGGCGACGAUCCCUAGCUGCUCUGAGAAGGAUGAUCAGCCACACU
RNAcentral lists this ribosomal RNA (275 nucleotides) under uncultured bacterium. RNAcentral's name for it is "partial 16S ribosomal RNA". It matches the Rfam family "Bacterial small subunit ribosomal RNA", at positions 46 to 314 of the family's 1533-position model. The record is from RNAcentral.